Long non-coding RNA from Acinonyx jubatus (cheetah), 899 nucleotides. RefSeq lists it as uncharacterized. The record is from RefSeq and is a predicted model, not a curated record. The transcript has 4 exons. NCBI's taxonomy places the organism in Eukaryota, Metazoa, Chordata, Mammalia, Carnivora, Felidae.
GGUGUCUGGGGAGGCGGUGUUGCCAUGGUUUGCCUUGACCUUGGCAAAGGAGGGGAGGGAUAUUGCCCUGGCUUAAGCUACGUUUGAGCUUCCUCGGGUUUCCUUGGCUCCCUGGACCCAGCCCUCGGUGAUAUCAUUUGCCACAUUUUCCUUGGGUGAGCCUGGCUUUCCCGCCUGAAUGUAAGUUACCCAGGGGCUGACACCUGGCCUCAUUCAUACGUGUACCCCCAAAGCCUAGCCCACAGCAGGUGCAUGAUAAAUUCUUAGUGCCAGGCGUGGCUCUAAACCCCAAGCACGGAUUGCCUCGCUUCGACUCCCCUGUUCCUCAUGAGGAACACGAGCUUUUAGUCAUUUUGGUUUGGUGAGUGUCAGGUAAAGAAGAGAAUCACCCAAGAAUGUGUCAUAGGAGGACUGAGACCGAGUUGGGACAGGCGAAAAGAAUGAACCCAGAAUACAGUUUUAUUCAUUUGGUUUUGGUUAAGUCAAACUGUGAAACAUGGAAAAUACACAGACUGUACUAUUCACAGGAUGAACAGCCACUUGCAUUUGUCCAAAAUGUGUAAUACACAACCACGGCAGAAGAGGAAAGGAGGCAUUCAGAGAUACGCAAUGUCAAUGCAGAGCCAACCCAGGAAGAUCUAGGCCAACACAUGAGAAAAAGACCAAGAGAAGUUAAGUACAUGAUGAAGGCCCUUGGCAUUUCUAGAACUCCUUUUCAAAAUGUAGCAUGUAUCAUGCAGUGGUUUGUACAAGAAGAUUAGAAGGUCAAUAUUCCAGAGGUCUCUUCAGGGCUGUUCCCCUAGUUCACUGAGUGACUUUGGGUAAGCCAUUAAUUUCUCCGGCCUCAUAACCUGAUCUGGAAAACAGAGAUAAACGGCACCAGCCUCACCGCCACCGUC